AAAGUCGUAACAAGGUCUCCGUUGGUGAACCAGCGGAGGGAUCAUUAAAGAGUUGCAAAACUCCCUAAACCAUUGUGAACGAACCCCUGAACAGUUGCUUCGGCAGGCCGGACCUCCCCCGGGAGGGCCGCCCAGCGCCUGCCGAAGGCACCCAAACCAUUGUUUUUACAAGCCUCUCUGAGUUUUUUUACUUAAUAAGUCAAAACUUUCAACAACGGAUCUCUUGGUUCUG
RNAcentral lists this unclassified non-coding RNA (232 nucleotides) under Ascomycota sp. RNAcentral describes it as "partial contains small subunit ribosomal RNA, internal transcribed spacer 1, and 5.8S ribosomal RNA". The stretch from base 1 to 47 matches the Rfam family "Eukaryotic small subunit ribosomal RNA", at positions 1785 to 1831 of the family's 1831-position model. Lineage: Eukaryota; Fungi; Ascomycota. The record is from RNAcentral.